CCUACGGGGGGCUGCAGUGGGGAAUAUUGCACAAUGGGCGCAAGCCUGAUGCAGCCAUGCCGCGUGUGUGAAGAAGGCCUUCGGGUUGUAAAGCACUUUCAGCGGGGAGGAAGGCGUUAAGGUUAAUAACCUUGUCGAUUGACGUUACCCGCCGAAGAAGCACCGGCUAACUCCGUGCCAGCAGCCGCGGUAAUACGGAGGGUGCAAGCGUUAAUCGGAAUUACUGGGCGUAAAGCGCACGCAGGCGGUCUGUCAAGUCGGAUGUGAAAUCCCCGGGCUCAACCUGGGAACUGCAUUCGAAACUGGCAGGCUAGAGUCUUGUAGAGGGGGGUAGAAUUCCAGGUGUAGCGGUGAAAUGCGUAGAGAUCUGGAGGAAUACCGGUGGCGAAGGCGGCCCCCUGGACAAGGACUGACGCUCAGGUGCGAAAGCGUGGGGAGCAAACAGGAUUAGAUACCCGUGUAGUC
This 465-nucleotide ribosomal RNA is filed under the name uncultured Klebsiella sp. RNAcentral's name for it is "bacterial SSU rRNA". It matches the Rfam family "Bacterial small subunit ribosomal RNA", at positions 338 to 795 of the family's 1533-position model. The record is from RNAcentral. Lineage: Bacteria; Pseudomonadati; Pseudomonadota; Gammaproteobacteria; Enterobacterales; Enterobacteriaceae.